UGCCAGUACAAUAUGCUUGUCUCAAAGAUUAAGCCAUGCAAGUGUAGGAAAGCUAUCACAUAGGGAAAUUUAACCUUAUGAUGAUUUAGAUAUCUGUAGAUUGCUCAUUAAAAGAGUUUUAUGCUCAGCCACUGGUAGUAUGGAGAGUUUUUUAAAUUUUUCAUUAAAAGGAUAACGCUGUUAACCUCUGCGAUAAUACUUGAUAUAAAAUAAAUAGUGAGUGAAUUAACAUUAGCUAUUUAGUAGUAGAUUAGCGAUGAAAUCGCAUCUAUUAAAACCGUAUUAUUAAUUUUUGAAAUCAGGGUUUCUAAUCUUGAGAGUAAAUUGUUAAAUGAUUGGUUAUUGACCGACUUGAUACAAAAAUGGAUUCUUUGCCUAGAUUUUAAUAGGUUUAGGAAUGAAGAGUUCAAAAAGUUGGCCCAGAGGAAGCGAUUCUUACCUAUCAGUUUCUGUCGUUUCAGUAAGGGUGAAACUUGACUAUUACGGGUACGGGGAAUUAGUGUUUAAAUCCGGAGAGGGAGCCUGAGAAAUAGCUACCACAUCUAAGGACGGCAGCAGGCGCGAAAAUUACCCAAUACUAAUACAGUGAGGUAGUGACGAGAAAUAACGACCUUCUAUUUAGAAGGGUACCGGUCAAACGGUUUGAAAUGGUGAUGGAUCAAAAUUCUAUCAGAGCAACAAUUGGAGGAAAAGUCUGGUGCCAGCACCCGCGGUAAUUCCAGCUCCAAUAGUGUAUUUUAAAGUUGUUGCGGUUAAAACGCUCGUAGUUAAUUUAAGAGUUUGAAACAAUUUUACAUUAAUGAUUCGUGGUUUCAUUUCGUUGUAAUAUUUAGAUGGAGUGAAAUCAUAUUCCUUUUUAGGGAGUUGAAUUGUUAAUCUCGGUUCUAAGCUUCUUUAAAAAUUCCUUCGGGAGUUUUUGGGAGUGGUGAAUGUAGAAUUGCAUUUUGAAUUUGCCAUAUUAGAUUUUAUCUAAUAACUCAACUGUGAGAAAAACAAAAUGCUCAAAAUAAACAAUUUUGGUUAAUUUAUUAACCUUGUUUGAAUGUUAUAACAUGGUAUUGAGAGAAAGUGAUUUAGUUUUCGAAUUAAAUUACGUUACGAUUGGGAGAUAGGGGGAGGGUUCCGGUAUUGCUUCGUCAGAGGUGAAAUUCAAUGACCGAGGCAAGACUAGCAGAUGCGAAAGCUGUAAUACCCACCACGCCUCCGUCAAUCAGGAACGAAAGUUAGGGGAUCGAAGAUGAUUAGAUACCAUUGUAGUCCUAACUGUAAACUAUAAUGACAAGAGAUUGGCAUGAGACCUUUUUUCCAGAUCCCCUCAGAAUCUAAAGGAAACUAAAAGUUUUUGAUUUCCGGGGGAAGUAUGGUCGCAAGGCUGAAACUUAAAAGAAUUGACGGAAG
This 1398-nucleotide ribosomal RNA is filed under the name uncultured soil eukaryote. RNAcentral describes it as "SSU rRNA". It matches the Rfam family "Eukaryotic small subunit ribosomal RNA", at positions 15 to 1162 of the family's 1831-position model. The record is from RNAcentral.